RNAcentral lists this microRNA precursor (103 nucleotides) under Marmota monax (woodchuck). The record is from RNAcentral. Lineage: Eukaryota; Metazoa; Chordata; Mammalia; Rodentia; Sciuridae.
AGAGGAAUAGCUGGGUCAAAUGGUGGUUCCAUUCCCAGAUUUCCAAGGAAUCUCCAUACUGCUUUCCAUAUUGGCUGCACCAAUUUGCAGUCCCACCAGCAAU